This 391-nucleotide unclassified non-coding RNA is filed under the name soil metagenome. RNAcentral describes it as "partial contains 5.8S ribosomal RNA, internal transcribed spacer 2, and large subunit ribosomal RNA". The stretch from base 1 to 122 matches the Rfam family "5.8S ribosomal RNA", at positions 35 to 154 of the family's 154-position model. The record is from RNAcentral.
GAUGAAGUACGUAGCGAAAUGCGAUACUUGGUGUGAAUUGCAGAAUCCCGUGAACCAUCGAGUCUUUGAACGCAAGUUGCGCCCGAAGCCAUUAGGCCGAGGGCACGCCUGCCUGGGCGUCACACGUCGUUGCCCCCCCAUCUACUCCUUCGGGAUUGCGGGGGGCGGAUGAUGGCCUCUCGUGCGCCUCGUCGCGCGGUUGGCCUAAAUGCCAAGUCCUCGGCGACGCACGCCACGACAAUCGGUGGUUGCGAAACCUCGGUUGCCUGUCGUGUGCGGUCGUCGCGCAUCGAGGGCUCGAAAAAAUUGCCGGGCUUCGGCUCGACUUUCAACGCGACCCCAGGUCAGGCGGGGUUACCCGCUGAAUUUAAGCAUAUCAAUAAGCGGAGGA